AUCUAUGGCCAUGCCACCCUGAACAUGCCUGAUCCCAUCUGAUCUUGGAAGCUAAGAAGGGUCAGGCCUGGUUACUACUUGGAUGGGAGACCUCCUAGGAAGACCGAGCACUAUAGGUA
Molecule: ribosomal RNA, 119 nt
Filed under: Pteropus alecto (black flying fox)
Lineage: Eukaryota; Metazoa; Chordata; Mammalia; Chiroptera; Pteropodidae
Source: RNAcentral